GAUGAACGCUGGCGGCGUGCUUAACACAUGCAAGUCGAACGAACGACUAUUAACAGAACCUUUCGGGGCGAAGAAUAUAGAAGUUAGUGGCGGACGGGUGCGUAACGCGUGGGUAAUCUGCCUUUGUCAAAGGAAUAACUAUUCGAAAGAAUAGCUAAAACCGUAUAACAUAUUAAUAGGGCAUCCUAAUAAUAUCAAAACUGAGGUGGACAAAGAUGAGCCCGCGUCUGAUUAGCUAGUUGGUGAGAUAAAAGCCCACCAAGGCAACGAUCAGUAGCCGACCUGAGAGGGUGAACGGCCACAUUGGAACUGAGACACGGUCCAAACUCCUACGGGAGGCAGCAGUGGGGAAUAUUGCACAAUGGGGGGAACCCUGAUGCAGCAACGCCGCGUGAGUAGGGGAAGAAAGAAAUGACAGUACCCUAAAAGAAAGCCCCGGCUAACUACGUGCCAGCAGCCGCGGUAAUACGUAGGGGGCAAGCGUUAUCCGGAAUAACUGGGCGUAAAGGGUGCGCAGGUGGUUUAACAAGUUAGUGGUGAAAGGCAUAGGCUCAACCAAUGUAAGCCAUUAAAACUGUUUAACUUGAGUGCAGGAGAGGAAAGUGGAAUUCCUAGUGUAGCGGUGAAAUGCGUAGAUAUUAGGAGGAAUACCAGUGGCGAAGGCGACUUUCUGGACUGCAACUGACACUGAGGCACGAAAGCGUGGGGAGCAAACAGGAUUAGAUACCCUGGUAGUCCACGCCGUAAACGAUGAGUACUAGGUGUCGGGUGAAGAACUCGGUGCCGAAGUUAACACAUUAAGUACUCCGCCUGGGGAGUACGCUCGCAAGAGUAAAACUCAAAGGAAUUGACGGGGACCCGCACAAGCAGCGGAGCAUGUGGUUUAAUUCGAAGCAACGCGAAGAACCUUACCUAAACUUGACAUACCAAUGACAGCCUUUUAAUCGAGGACUUUUACCUUCGGGUAGACAAUGGAUACAGGUGGUGCAUGGUUGUCGUCAGCUCGUGUCGUGAGAUGUUGGGUUAAGUCCCGCAACGAGCGCA
RNAcentral lists this ribosomal RNA (1044 nucleotides) under Filifactor alocis. Its description in RNAcentral is "bacterial SSU rRNA". It matches the Rfam family "Bacterial small subunit ribosomal RNA", at positions 28 to 1100 of the family's 1533-position model. Lineage: Bacteria; Bacillati; Bacillota; Clostridia; Peptostreptococcales; Filifactoraceae. The record is from RNAcentral.